Molecule: ribosomal RNA, 446 nt
Filed under: uncultured bacterium
Lineage: Bacteria
Description: bacterial SSU rRNA
Rfam family: Bacterial small subunit ribosomal RNA
Source: RNAcentral
UGCCAGACUCCUACGGGAGGCAGCAGUGGGGAAUAUUGCACAAUGGGGGAAACCCUGAUGCAGCGACGCCGCGUGAGUGAAGAAGUAUUUCGGUAUGUAAAGCUCUAUCAGCAGGGAAGAAAAUGACGGUACCUGACUAAGAAGCCCCGGCUAACUACGUGCCAGCAGCCGCGGUAAUACGUAGGGGGCAAGCGUUAUCCGGAUUUACUGGGUGUAAAGGGAGCGUAGACGGUGAUGCAAGCCAGGAGUGAAAGCCCGGGGCCCAACCCCGGGACUGCUCUUGGAACUGCGUGGCUGGAGUGCAGGAGGGGCAGGCGGAAUUCCUGGUGUAGCGGUGAAAUGCGUAGAUAUCAGGAGGAACACCGGUGGCGAAGGCGGCCUGCUGGACUGCGACUGACGUUGAGGCCCGAAAGCGUGGGGAGCAAACAGGAUUAGAUACCCCUGUA